This 724-nucleotide ribosomal RNA is filed under the name Escherichia coli. RNAcentral describes it as "bacterial SSU rRNA". It matches the Rfam family "Bacterial small subunit ribosomal RNA", at positions 796 to 1520 of the family's 1533-position model. Lineage: Bacteria; Pseudomonadati; Pseudomonadota; Gammaproteobacteria; Enterobacterales; Enterobacteriaceae. The record is from RNAcentral.
CACGCCGUAAACGAUGUCGACUUGGAGGUUGUGCCCUUGAGGCGUGGCUUCCGGAGCUAACGCGUUAAGUCGACCGCCUGGGGAGUACGGCCGCAAGGUUAAAACUCAAAUGAAUUGACGGGGGCCCGCACAAGCGGUGGAGCAUGUGGUUUAAUUCGAUGCAACGCGAAGAACCUUACCUGGUCUUGACAUCCACAGAACUUUCCAGAGAUGGAUUGGUGCCUUCGGGAACUGUGAGACAGGUGCUGCAUGGCUGUCGUCAGCUCGUGUUGUGAAAUGUUGGGUUAAGUCCCGCAACGAGCGCAACCCUUAUCCUUUGUUGCCAGCGGUCCGGCCGGGAACUCAAAGGAGACUGCCAGUGAUAAACUGGAGGAAGGUGGGGAUGACGUCAAGUCAUCAUGGCCCUUACGACCAGGGCUACACACGUGCUACAAUGGCGCAUACAAAGAGAAGCGACCUCGCGAGAGCAAGCGGACCUCAUAAAGUGCGUCGUAGUCCGGAUUGGAGUCUGCAACUCGACUCCAUGAAGUCGGAAUCGCUAGUAAUCGUGGAUCAGAAUGCCACGGUGAAUACGUUCCCGGGCCUUGUACACACCGCCCGUCACACCAUGGGAGUGGGUUGCAAAAGAAGUAGGUAGCUUAACCUUCGGGAGGGCGCUUACCACUUUGUGAUUCAUGACUGGGGUGAAGUCGUAACAAGGUAACCGUAGGGGAACCUGCGGUUG